GCAGAGCAUUUUGUACGUGGCCGGUGCUGUGGUAUGAGUGCCAUUGUGAGCUCACAACACUUUAGGGGGCCACAGAACCCCAAGCAUUAUACUUUAGUCUUUCCUUUCUACCUUUCUGCCUCUCUCAGUAAAGGCUGUUAUUAAGUAACAAAUUCGGGUGGGUCAAGGGCAGAGUAACCAAGAGAUCUCAGCAAGCAUGAGGGAGAUUCAAGGAGCUGGCAUUGUGUGACUGGGGACAGAAAAGCCCUCAUGCAGGCAGGCGGGUCACAAUUGUUCCCUUCAGAUUUCUGAGGGGCUGCCUUGGUGGGAGAGGGGGUAGUUCAGUUCUGUGGGGCUCCAGGGGGCAAAAGGCAUGAUAAAUGAGUAGAAGUCAUGGAGAGGUGGAGCUUGCCUCCAGACAGAAUGCUAAGAAGGAUGCUGCUGCACAGUGGGGACUGAGCCAACUCACUGUUCAACAAAUAAGCAUUGGAGGGUCUCUAGUUCCAUAGAAAGAAGGCAAAUGAAGAGGACAGAAGAAGGAGAGAGACCUUCCCACCCCAUCAGCCCUAUGCUGCAGAGAGGGAUCCCACAUCUACUUCUCUUGCAGAAACCAACUGGUGGAAGUGACCUUCUCAUGGAGUGUCCUUCACAAGAUCUGGCACAUUUUCCAGCUGCCUGUAGGUAUUCUGGAAGCGUUGGUGGUUUCAGUGGCAAAAACAUCAAGGGCUCUGCGGUGAUUACUUCUGGAGAGGCAGCUGCGGGGAGCACCAUGUUCAAGUGCAGGAGCACCAGCUGGGAGUCUACUCCGCCCCGACUGCCAGUGGGGCCUCGGCAAUUUGUUUUCCCCUAUGGAGUCCAAGUUUCCCAACUCAUUCUUUCCUCUCAUCAAUGAAGAGUCAGUAAGCACAGACGCUGUGCCAGGAAUCAUGAGAGGUAUUGCUAUGGGAAAGAUGACCAGACUCAAACCACCCACAGAGAGGAAGAGAGACAUGGAAAUCACCUCCAUAAAACAUAAUGGAUGCAUGCCCACUAGGAUGGCUAAAAUUAAAAAGACAGAUAAUAUGACGUGUUGGCAAAGAUAUGGAGAAAGUGGGCCCCUCGUAGGAUGCUAAAUGCCCAGAAUAGGCAAAUCUAUAGAAACAAAGAUUAGUGGUUGGUUCAGGCUAA
Molecule: long non-coding RNA, 1146 nt
Filed under: Homo sapiens (human)
Lineage: Eukaryota; Metazoa; Chordata; Mammalia; Primates; Hominidae
Description: HSALNT0301416
Source: RNAcentral